AACAGGAUUAGAUACCCUGGUAGUCCACGCCGUAAACGAUGUCGACUUGGAGGUUGUGCCCUUGAGGCGUGGCUUCCGGAGCUAACGCGUUAAGUCGACCGCCUGGGGAGUACGGCCGCAAGGUUAAAACUCAAAUGAAUUGACGGGGGCCCGCACAAGCGGUGGAGCAUGUGGUUUAAUUCGAUGCAACGCGAAGAACCUUACCUACUCUUGACAUCCAGAGAACUUAGCAGAGAUGCUUUGGUGCCUUCGGGAACUCUGAGACAGGUGCUGCAUGGCUGUCGUCAGCUCGUGUUGUGAAAUGUUGGGUUAAGUCCCGCAACGAGCGCAACCCUUAUCCUUUGUUGCCAGCGGUUAGGCCGGGAACUCAAAGGAGACUGCCAGUGAUAAACUGGAGGAAGGUGGGGAUGACGUCAAGUCAUCAUGGCCCUUACGAGUAGGGCUACACACGUGCUACAAUGGCAUAUACAAAGAGAAGCGACCUCGCGAGAGCAAGCGGACCUCAUAAAGUAUGUCGUAGUCCGGAUUGGAGUCUGCAACUCGGCUCCAUGAAGUCGGAAUCGCUAGUAAUCGUGGAUCAGAAUGCCACGGUGAAUACGUUCCCGGGCCUUGUACACACCGCCCGUCACACCAUGGGAGUGGGUUGCAAAAGAAGUAGGUAGCUUAACCUUCGGGAGGGCGCUUACCACUUUGUGAUUCAUGACUGGGGUGAAGUCGUAACAAGGUAACC
RNAcentral lists this ribosomal RNA (730 nucleotides) under uncultured bacterium. Its description in RNAcentral is "bacterial SSU rRNA". It matches the Rfam family "Bacterial small subunit ribosomal RNA", at positions 771 to 1501 of the family's 1533-position model. The record is from RNAcentral.